Molecule: ribosomal RNA, 702 nt
Filed under: uncultured bacterium
Lineage: Bacteria
Description: bacterial SSU rRNA
Rfam family: Bacterial small subunit ribosomal RNA
Source: RNAcentral
AGAGUUUGAUCAUGGCUCAGAUUGAACGCUGGCGGAAUGCUUUACACAUGCAAGUCGAACGAUGAACCUUAGCUUGCUAAGGGGAUUAGUGGCGAACGGGUGAGUAAUAUAUCGGAACGUGCCUUGUAAUGGGGGAUAACUAGUCGAAAGAUUAGCUAAUACCGCAUACGCCCUGAGGGGGAAAGUAGGGGAUCUUCGGACCUUACGUUAUAAGAGCGGCCGAUAUCUGAUUAGCUAGUUGGUGGGGUAAUGGCCUACCAAGGCUUCGAUCAGUAGCUGGUCUGAGAGGACGACCAGCCACACUGGAACUGAGACACGGUCCAGACUCCUACGGGAGGCAGCAGUGGGGAAUUUUGGACAAUGGGCGCAAGCCUGAUCCAGCCAUUCCGCGUGAGUGAAGAAGGCCUUCGGGUUGUAAAGCUCUUUCGCAAGGGAAGAAAACUUACAUUCUAAUAAAGUGUGAGGCUGACGGUACCUUGAUAAGAAGCACCGGCUAACUACGUGCCAGCAGCCGCGGUAAUACGUAGGGUGCGAGCGUUAAUCGGAAUUACUGGGCGUAAAGCGUGCGCAGGCGGUUUGGCAAGUCAGAUGUGAAAUCCCCGAGCUCAACUUGGGAACUGCGUUUGAAACUGCCAGACUAGAAUAUGUCAGAGGGGGGUAGAAUUCCACGUGUAGCAGUGAAAUGCGUAGAGAUGUGGAGGA